UAGCUAAAGUAAAUAUAUUUUAGUAAAAAGUAACAAACGAAUAACGCAGCUUUAAUUUUAAAGAAUACUUAAAAAAAUAUAGCAAUUACAUUUUUUGUGUAAUUACGUAAUAUGUCGUUUUAAAAAGAUGUAUUUAAUGUGUACGAGAGCAUUCGUUACACAUUCAAACCUAAUUAAAAAGAGAACUCUACAAGACGGUUAAAAGGUAGUUUUGUUGGAGCAGCGGAUCUUUUACUCCACGUCGGUGUGUGUAACUAUCUCUCUCUCUCGAUCAUUACUUAACUUUGUUUGUUGCAUGAACGAAUGAAGAUAAAGUUUUUAAGUAAUUCUAUGUUAAAACUCUGAAAUAAAUAUAUAAAGCACAACGAUUACACAGCCUCAAUAUAAUAUUAAGAUCAUAAAUCACCGUGCUGAGGGCAUAGCUAUGUCAGUUUAAACAACCCGGUGGGAAAUAUACCACGAAAAGUAAGAGAGAGCUGCUAGAUGGUGUGAGUUGGUGUGUGUGUACAAAUAAUGUACUGAACACAAAGACGACGACACGACACGACGUAGCGACGGCUGAUUACCAAUGUCGCUUUGAAGCCAGCGUCUUGAACAUUUUGAAGACGGCAGCGACAUAUCAAACAGCAAUUUCAUUGUUGCCGUACUAAAAUCUUUCACUUCAAUAAAAUUUACAUAUUUAGUUUAAAGUGGAAUUAUUUGUGGAAAAAUUGUAAAAAUUAGUGAUUUAUUUGUUUUAAAUAAUCGAUUGUUAUUAUAAAUGAUAUUUGAUAAAGCUAUUUUACGUUUCUGUUGGCAAAAUAACGUCAUAAUUGUGAGAACUUUGAAUAAUUUUACAUUUCACAUAUCAGUGACAGCUCUACAGCGACCAUUGUCGUCGGCAAAAUUGGAAACAUUUCUAAUUUGGCGGCAGCGAAGACUUCAACUCUUUUGUGGUGAAGUCGUGCUGUUGUCUAAAAAUCUGUGCCGAUAAGAACGCGUGUUUUUUAAUAUUUGACAGAUGUCGCUCGUCGCUUGUCGUCGUCUAUGUGUUCAGCACUUAAAUGUUUUAGAAAACUAAUAUUGUAAACAGUUAUUGAACGCACUUCGUACACCAUAAAUUUAUAAACUAUUGGACAGCAAUUUGGUACGUUGGACAACCUGUUAUGGAACAUGGAUUUUAAGUGAAACCAUGUUACCUUACGCGGAAUUUAAUACACCUCUUCGAUGCGUGUUGCAUCAAUAUAAUGACCCAAAACACUAAUCAAAGUAGGUAAAGGAAUGAUUCAGACAAAAUAGUAUUAAAGUUUAAAGAUGGCCUCCGCAAUCGCCAGACCUUAAUCCGAUAGAAAAUUAAUGGAGAGAGUUUGAAGUGUCUCCAAGAUGCUAAAAUCCAUCUAAUAAAGAUGAUUUGUGGAAGCUGUGGGAAAAAAUUUCUGCUGUUAUGUGCCAGAAUUUAGUGAAUGCUUCGCUCAAAUUUUGUUCAGCAGUUAUAAAAAACAUUGGAUACUACACUAAAAUUAAAGCAAGCAAGAUUAAAGUAAUCAUUUAAUUAAUAUCUUAAUAUAUAAUACAUGCGUUGUUUAUCUUUUACCAAUAAAAAGAACGAAAAAAACCAAAUGUAUUGAUUAUUAUUUCAUUGCACAUCACUGUAUGUACGAGCGAGGUGCAAUAAGUACAUAUUCUACAAAAGAAAAACGAAUAUUUUGGAAAAAAUUCACUUCGUGGCUAUGGCCUUAUACCUUUAUAAUUCCACGAUUUAAAAAAUAAAAUGAAGUCUUUUGAGAUACUUACUGUCUAGAUAUCUCUAACAGUUUCAAUCGUGUUAGCUGGAAUGCCACUCCAUUGACACUCUUUAAAUCAACUUUUGAUACCACCCAUAGAAGGAGAAG
Molecule: long non-coding RNA, 1871 nt
Organism: Zeugodacus cucurbitae (melon fly)
Lineage: Eukaryota; Metazoa; Arthropoda; Insecta; Diptera; Tephritidae
Exons: 3
Source: RefSeq, a predicted model, not a curated record